AUAUACGGACAGUAUUUCAUCCUUCACAUGAAUCAAGUGUUAAAUCACUGUGUUUCAGCCACACCAUCAUCAGGGCCUACAACUGUGGCAGCAGGAACUGUAGCUGUUUUACUGGCCACCAUGCUCCUCGUCAUCUUCCUCUGGAUGAGAAGAAAGAGGGCUUCUAGGAAAGCGCGUGGCCAGGGAGGAAGGCCAGAUACCAGGGAGGAGUCUCCUCCGUGUCCUGUGUAUGACAACGUCUCAGCUCUGACCAAUCGCUCGGCUUCUGCAGCACAGAGAGAACCAAUAGAAGAGCAGGAUGAGCCUCACUAUGCCAGCAUCCACAUCUCUCGCUCUAAGAACCAGGAAGUGCCUUGUGGGUUUGCUGGUGUUCUGGUAGAGUCUGAUCAUACAGAGCAGGUCCUUUACUCUGCCAUCAACCUUAAAAGACCCAAGGCUGUCCCUGAAUAAGCACUCUUGAUAGUUCUCGAAAAUAAACUUUGAGGCUUGAGACUUCAUCCUCCAAAGGGACAGCUUGUGGAGGCAAAGGCAAAGCCAUUUAUAAACAUGUACAAUUUACUGAGUUUCUUAACUUCUCUUUUUCACUUCUUCUUUUCACUGAAAGUAAACUGAUGUAAGAUCGGUAUACCACCCUCAAAUAAACAUCCCAGAAAAUGCAUUAUUUUGAUAUAGAAUCAGCAUAACAUUUCUACCAACAAAUUUGUAUUUUAUUGUCAGAAUCUUCACAGUGAUUGUGUAUAUUGUUUAGUUUGUUAGUUGCUAAGAAUAUUCCUCUCGCGAGAGAAAAACGCUUUAAAUCAUUUCUUUGUCUGUUGAUAUGGGUGAUGCUAUCACAAAAAAAAGAAAAUAAAUAAACUUAUCACAAAAAGUAAGGAAAUUUGUGUAUGGUUGAUUAUUUAUCUAUGGUUACAAUGCUCUUUGGCAAUAAAUCUUAUACCGUUGGAAAGCCUGUAUAAUUCCCUUUCGAAUGGUGCCCCAUUUGAAAGGAACAAGCACUUGUGGGAUGAGCAGCAGAGCUGAGUAUGUGGGUUGCGCCCUUGAAAAAUUUGCCAAAUCUUCUCUGCCAAUCCCAAACAGCCUAUUCUGCCAUU
Molecule: long non-coding RNA, 1091 nt
Organism: Gadus macrocephalus (Pacific cod)
Lineage: Eukaryota; Metazoa; Chordata; Actinopteri; Gadiformes; Gadidae
Exons: 3
Source: RefSeq, a predicted model, not a curated record